UACAGAGGGGGCAAGCGUUGUUCGGAAUUACUGGGCGUAAAGGGCGCGUAGGCGGCCCGCUAAGUCGAACGUGAAAUCCCCGAGCUCAACUCGGGAACUGCGUCCGAUACUGGUGGGCUUGAAUCCGGGAGAGGGAUGCGGAAUUCCAGGUGUAGCGGUGAAAUGCGUGGAUAUCUGGAGGAACACCGGUGGCGAAGGCGGCAUCCUGGACCGGCAUUGACGCUGAAUAGCGAAAGCCAGGGGAGCAAACGGG
RNAcentral lists this ribosomal RNA (253 nucleotides) under uncultured bacterium. RNAcentral describes it as "partial 16S ribosomal RNA". It matches the Rfam family "Bacterial small subunit ribosomal RNA", at positions 524 to 776 of the family's 1533-position model. The record is from RNAcentral.